CCACUACGGCGUCAUAGUGAAACCCCACCCAAAACAAGCCAUUUAGGUUUUUGAGUUUUGCACAUCACAGGCACACACUCACGCUUUCAAAUUCAAUUUUCUCCACUCAUCGUCAAAGGGUAAUGGCAGCAGCGGCAUAAAUCGGGGGUAAAUGAUUUAUAAUGUGGUGGUGAAGAACCAUAAUUGAUUUGUACGAUGAAUCUACACCCGAAGGCAGCGGCGAGCGAUUGUCCUCGUCGGUACACUAUCAUUUGGGCAUGAAGGAUAUUCAAUACGGAAGCUUAACAACUAUAGUAACUGGUAUACGAUGCAGUUUAGAUUAUUCGUAAAAAUGCAAAUGUGAGACUAGUGUUGGGCAGGGACCACGUGCUACUCAGAUAUAGUAUGAAGUUGUCGAAUUGUCAAAUUGGAAAGAUCGUCCAAGAUGAACUAGUGGGGGUUGAGGGGAUGAGAGGGAGAGAAAUAUAAACGACGAUAACAUGGCUUGCGGAUGUUGGAGGUGAUACAGGACAAUAGUUUAGAGAUUGGGUCUUUGUUAUAAGAUAUUUUUGGCUCGACAUUUGUAGUAUAUUUUUACCAUUAGAACUUUUGAAAUAUCACAACAGAGAUAAUGGUUUUGUCUUAAUAUACUUAUAUGAUCAUUUUAUUGGUUUUGUUGUACAUUUCUUUUGAUACAGACAAUUUGUGACAAAGUGUUUGUGACAGAGGAUUGGUGACUAAUUG
Erythranthe guttata (spotted monkey flower) is the source of this 723-nucleotide non-coding RNA. NCBI's taxonomy places the organism in Eukaryota, Viridiplantae, Streptophyta, Magnoliopsida, Lamiales, Phrymaceae. The record is from RefSeq and is a predicted model, not a curated record.